This 206-nucleotide unclassified non-coding RNA is filed under the name Hevea brasiliensis (rubber tree). Lineage: Eukaryota; Viridiplantae; Streptophyta; Magnoliopsida; Malpighiales; Euphorbiaceae. The record is from RNAcentral.
GAAGAAGCCACCAGAGCAUCAGAUCCUAUAAUUGUUGAACAGACUUUAGUAAAGCAGUUCGGAUCUCGUGUAACCUUUCUUGUGCAGGAACGAACCAUUGAAGCAUUAGCUAGUUUGUAUGGGAAUGCCAUACUUGCUGUCAAACUUUCAAAUUCUGAUGCAAAACGUUUACUAGUUGGUUUGAUCACUAUGGCAACCAAUGAAGC